AACGAACGCUGGCGGCAUGCCUAACACAUGCAAGUCGAACGAGACCUUCGGGUCUAGUGGCGCACGGGUGCGUAACGCGUGGGAACCUGCCCUUAGGUUCGGAAUAACUCCCCGAAAGGGGUGCUAAUACCGGAUAAUGUCUUCGGACCAAAGAUUUAUCGCCUUUGGAUGGGCCCGCGUUGGAUUAGCUAGUUGGUAGGGUAAAAGCCUACCAAGGCGACGAUCCAUAGCUGGUCUGAGAGGAUGAUCAGCCACACUGGGACUGAGACACGGCCCAGACUCCUACGGGAGGCAGCAGUGGGGAAUAUUGGACAAUCGGCGAAAGCCUGAUCCAGCACUGCCGCGUGAGUGAUGAAGGCCUUAGGGUUGUAAAGCUCUUUUACCCGGGAUGAUAAUGACAGUACCGGGAGAAUAAGCUCCGGCUAACUCCGUG
Molecule: ribosomal RNA, 433 nt
Filed under: uncultured bacterium
Lineage: Bacteria
Description: partial 16S ribosomal RNA
Rfam family: Bacterial small subunit ribosomal RNA
Source: RNAcentral